AGUCAAGUAAUUAAGUGCAUGUGGUGGAUGCCUUGGCAGUCAGAGGCGAUGAAAGACGUGAUAGCCUGCGAAAAGCUCCGGGGAGGCGGCAAAUAUCCUUUGAUCCGGAGAUGUCUGAAUGGGGGAACCCACCUACUUUAAGGUAGGUAUUGCAACAUGAAUACAUAGUGUUGCAAGGCGAACGAGGGGAAGUGAAACAUCUCAGUACCCUUAGGAAAAGAAAUCAAUUGA
This 231-nucleotide ribosomal RNA is filed under the name Acinetobacter baumannii. RNAcentral describes it as "partial 23S ribosomal RNA". It matches the Rfam family "Bacterial large subunit ribosomal RNA", at positions 1 to 232 of the family's 2925-position model. The record is from RNAcentral. Lineage: Bacteria; Pseudomonadati; Pseudomonadota; Gammaproteobacteria; Moraxellales; Moraxellaceae.